This 549-nucleotide ribosomal RNA is filed under the name uncultured bacterium. RNAcentral's name for it is "bacterial SSU rRNA". It matches the Rfam family "Bacterial small subunit ribosomal RNA", at positions 8 to 553 of the family's 1533-position model. The record is from RNAcentral.
AGAGUUUGAUUCUGGCUCAAGAUGAACGCUGGCGGCGUGCUUAACACAUGCAAGUCGAACGAAGCACUCUUUUAGAUUUCCUUCGGGGAAGAAGAAAUUGUGACUGAGUGGCGGACGGGUGAGUAACGCGUGGGCAACCUGCCCCAUACAGGGGGAUAACAGCCGGAAACGGCUGCUAAAACCGCAUAAGCGCACAAGGGCCGCAUGGCCUGGUGUGAAAAACUCCGGUGGUAUGGGAUGGGCCCGCGUCUGAUUAGCUAGUUGGCGGGGGAGAGGCCCACCAAGGCGACGAUCAGUAGCCGACCUGAGAGGGUGGCCGGCCACAUUGGGACUGAGACACGGCCCAAACUCCUACGGGAGGCAGCAGUGGGGAAUAUUGCACAAUGGGGGAAACCCUGAUGCAGCGACGCCGCGUGAGCGAAGAAGUAUUUCGGUAUGUAAAGCUCUAUCAGCAGGGAAGAAAAAUGACGGUACCUGAGUAAGAAGCACCGGCUAAAUACGUGCCAGCAGCCGCGGUAAUACGUAUGGUGCAAGCGUUAUCCGGAUUUA